UACAGAGGGUGCAAGCGUUGUUCGGAAUUACUGGGCGUAAAGAGUGUGUAGGCGGUGCUCUAAGUCUGUUGUGAAAUCUCCCGGCUUAACCGGGAGGGUGCGGCGGAAACUGGAGUGCUUGAGGGUGGGAGAGGUAAGCGGAAUUCCUGGUGUAGCGGUGAAAUGCGUAGAUAUCAGGAGGAACACCUGUGGUGUAGACAGCUUACUGGACCACUUCUGACGCUGAGACACGAAAGCGUGGGUAGCAAACAGG
RNAcentral lists this ribosomal RNA (253 nucleotides) under uncultured bacterium. Its description in RNAcentral is "partial 16S ribosomal RNA". It matches the Rfam family "Bacterial small subunit ribosomal RNA", at positions 524 to 776 of the family's 1533-position model. The record is from RNAcentral.